GUAAGGAUAAAAACACAUUCCGGUUGGUAGUCCGGAAGCAUAGCCGCCUGCCGCGGUAUAUGUCAGUAACCUGCCUCCUUGGUUGUCCGUUCCUUACU
Molecule: non-coding RNA, 98 nt
Filed under: human gut metagenome
Description: yjdF RNA
Rfam family: azaaromatic riboswitch aptamer (yjdF RNA)
Source: RNAcentral